ACAUUGUGUUCCUCUUUAGGACCUGGCGUUGUACAACGAGUUCACCAUCAGUGACACCCUGACGUUCUUCGGACGGAUCCACGGCCUGUCAUCUAAGGACACUCAGGCACGCAUUAACUUCCUGGUGGACUUCCUGGACCUACCUCAGAAGAGCAAACUGGUCCGAAAUCUCAGCGGAGGGCAGAAACGGAGGGUUUCUCUAGGAGCAGCCUUACUUCAAAACCCCCAGUUAUUGAUUCUGGAUGAACCCACAGUCGGGGUGGACCCUGUGCUGAGAGCCAAGAUCUGGCAGCAUCUAGUAGAUAUUGUGAAAACUGGAAAAGUGUCGGUCGUCAUCACCACUCACUACAUAGAGGAGGCCAGGCAAGCCAAUGUGGUGGGUCUGAUGAGGAAUGGCCGACUGUUGGCUCGAGGGACUUCCAGAAGCCAUGAUGAAACAGCACAAUGCACCGACCCUGGAGAAAGCCUUCCUGCAGCUGUGUGAGACGUCAGACCAGGUGAGCUCCAAACACAGCACCUCGCCUCAGGGCGGGGUCCUAG
This is a long non-coding RNA of Coregonus clupeaformis (lake whitefish), 540 nucleotides long. RefSeq lists it as uncharacterized. Lineage: Eukaryota; Metazoa; Chordata; Actinopteri; Salmoniformes; Salmonidae. The transcript is spliced from 5 exons. The record is from RefSeq and is a predicted model, not a curated record.